Molecule: long non-coding RNA, 509 nt
Organism: Hydra vulgaris (swiftwater hydra)
Lineage: Eukaryota; Metazoa; Cnidaria; Hydrozoa; Anthoathecata; Hydridae
Source: RefSeq, a predicted model, not a curated record
CUCCAAUGCCACCAGUAAAAGCAACUCAAUUUACUAAAACCUCGAUAUCUAAAUUUCCUCUUCCUGAAGCUAAAUUUCAAUAUAAAGUAAUUCAUUUGCUCACUCAAAUUCUUGAGAAGCAGUGCAAGAUAUCGACACAGGAACCUGAACAUUCUUCAUAUCAUGUGCAGAAGUUCGAUAAUUUAGAGGAGUUUUAGGUUUUUGAUGAUGAACUUUCUGAUGUUGCAAAAUGUCUUCUUUUAAAAAGACAGUUAACAAUGGUUGGUGGAAAUUCCUGUCAUGCAAAUGUCAAAGCCAUACUUUCUAAACUCAUGACAAACAAGUUAAUGGCAUGUUACAACAUGAAUGGAAAAAAUAAAAAAUCAUUCAUAAAAACAAAAGUAUUCAGAGUCACUGUGGAAAGCAUGCCAAAGUACAAAUUAAAUGAAUUGCACCAAGCUAUUGGCAACGUUCUAAAACGUGCUCCCGACAGAAAAGAUGGUGGUGGGCGUGACUGUAGAGCGGAAAGA